UACGUAGGGCGCAAGCGUUGUCCGGAAUUAUUGGGCGUAAAGAGCUCGUAGGCGGCUUGUCACGUCGAUUGUGAAAGCCCGAGGCUUAACCUCGGGUCUGCAGUCGAUACGGGCUAGCUAGAGUGUGGGAGGGGAGAUCGGAAUUCCUGGUGUAGCGGUGAAAUGCGUAGAUAUCAGAAGGAACACCUGUGGUGUAGACGGCUUUCUGGACAAUUCCUGACGCUGAGACACGAAAGCGUGGGUAGCAAACAGG
RNAcentral lists this ribosomal RNA (253 nucleotides) under uncultured bacterium. RNAcentral describes it as "partial 16S ribosomal RNA". It matches the Rfam family "Bacterial small subunit ribosomal RNA", at positions 524 to 776 of the family's 1533-position model. The record is from RNAcentral.